GACGAACGCUGGCGGCGUGCUUAACACAUGCAAGUCGAACGGAAAGGCCCUGCUUUUGUGGGGUGCUCGAGUGGCGAACGGGUGAGUAACACGUGAGUAACCUGCCCUUGACUUUGGGAUAACUUCAGGUAACUGGGGCUACUACCGUAUAGGAGCUCCUGCUGCAUGGUGGGGGUUGGAAAGUUUCGGCGGUUGGGGAUGGACUCGCGGCUUAUCAGCUUGUUGGUGGGGUAGUGGCUUACCAAGGCUUUGACGGGUAGCCGGCCUGGGAGGGUGACCGGGCACAAGGGGACUGAGAGAGGGACCAGACUGGUACGGGAGGCAGCAGGGGGGAAUAUGGCACAGUGGGCGGAAGCGUGAGGAAGAGACGCCGCGGGCGGGAUGACGGCCUGCGGGGUGUAAACAGCUGUAGCCUGUGACGAAGCGGGAGUGACGGUAAUGGGUGAAGAAGCACCGGCUAACUACGUG
RNAcentral lists this ribosomal RNA (468 nucleotides) under uncultured bacterium. RNAcentral describes it as "partial 16S ribosomal RNA". It matches the Rfam family "Bacterial small subunit ribosomal RNA", at positions 28 to 507 of the family's 1533-position model. The record is from RNAcentral.